RNAcentral lists this non-coding RNA (45 nucleotides) under Schistosoma curassoni. Lineage: Eukaryota; Metazoa; Platyhelminthes; Trematoda; Strigeidida; Schistosomatidae. The record is from RNAcentral.
AUCCAGCUGACGAGUACAAGAAAGGACGAAACGCGCGUCCUGGAU